This 22-nucleotide microRNA is filed under the name Haemonchus contortus (barber pole worm). Its description in RNAcentral is "hco-miR-5890f-5p". The record is from miRBase by way of RNAcentral. Lineage: Eukaryota; Metazoa; Nematoda; Chromadorea; Rhabditida; Trichostrongylidae.
AUAGGACUGAACUGUGGGAGGA